GACCUCGGAUCAGGUAGGGAUACCCGCUGAACUUAAGCAU
RNAcentral lists this ribosomal RNA (40 nucleotides) under Aspergillus unguis. Its description in RNAcentral is "partial 28S ribosomal RNA". RNAcentral also lists the same sequence under 4 other names. Lineage: Eukaryota; Fungi; Ascomycota; Eurotiomycetes; Eurotiales; Aspergillaceae. The record is from RNAcentral.